Molecule: long non-coding RNA, 2267 nt
Organism: Centruroides sculpturatus (bark scorpion)
Lineage: Eukaryota; Metazoa; Arthropoda; Arachnida; Scorpiones; Buthidae
Exons: 2
Source: RefSeq, a predicted model, not a curated record
GGAUAGGAUGCAUGAGCAGAUUGAAAAGCAAGUUGGAUUAUGCUAGGAUUCAGUUACUGAGUUAUUUUUUACUUCUUUGUAUUUGUGUUGUGUAUUAAGAAAACCUUCAUUUGUGUUAUUCUACAUUUAAUGUAUUGGAAAUAUGCUGCAUAAGUGUGUGAACAAUGCAAACUAGUUCUGUUACACUUAUGACAAUGUUACAUUUUCCUCCAGUAAAUGAUGUAUGACAACAAUCAUGCAAAAAGCCUACUUUUUAUACUUUGGUUGUACAGUAAUCAUUAAGACAAACUGUGGACAAUACAGUUUUGUUGAAAUACCUGAGCUGUGAUCAGUAUUGCAGAAUUAUUUCUAAGUCUAGUUAUGCUGUAAUGCUGAACAUAUUUCUAACUACUACUUGACUCCUGCCACUGCUGGAUUUCUGACUACUUAAGUCAGCUUGUUUUAUCUAUGCUAACCUUCUACUAGUGAUGCCAUUGUUUUUGUUUUGUCAUAUGUAGUGUUGCCACCUUUUCAAAAUCGCUGACCCGGACAGCAGGUGAGGUUUGUUUGAACAGAAUUUCCUGAUGCAUGCGCAAUGUCAUUUUGCAAUGCGAAGAAUAACGUGCAGUGUAUGCUGGUUCUGAAUCAAUUACAGUUAGGGACUAGGGAGACUUGGGUAGGAGUAACGUAAGUAACUAAAUUAAGAAAAAACAACUACAGAUGACUUAGCUCUAUUGGAUAUUGGAGAUGUGUACGAAUACAAAUCGUACGAGCAAAAACAAAAAAAAAAGAAAAAAGAAAAAAAAAGGUUGACAGGUUGCGCACUAUAUUCCUGGACAAAAUUGAAUGUUCACCCGGACAGUGAGUCGAUUCCUGGACUGUCCGGGUGAAAACCGGACGGGUGGUAACACUAGUCAUAUGAUUAGCAAGAUGGAAGCUCCUGCUGGACUAAAUAUACUUUUAUAAUAGUCAUAAAAUUAUUGUAAUUAUGAUAAUUUAUUUUAUGAUAAAAUUAUGAUGAUUAUCAUUCACCAUUUCUGCACACAAUAAGUCUUAACUUGCUAACUCAGCACACUGUUCGAGGAUAUUCAGAAUACUUCUUAGCUCUGUCCUCCUAGCCAAUUACAUUUCUUACUUAGCAUUCUGCAUUACUGAAUUUAGUUCUGUUUAAUGGAUAUGUAUUUCUGGCUACAUAGGAAGGAACUUGCCAUGCCAUUUGUAGUUCCAAUUGUAUGAAAAGAAUCAAUUGUGUUACAGGUUCUACUUCUGCAUUAACCAUGCCAAAGUAUGAAUGACUAAGAAGAAGAUAACCAUUAGCUAUCCUGAUAUGCCUUCUACAAUACUGCCUAAACUACAUAGUGAGGAAAUACCCAUUUCAGAACCUUCCAAGUACACAAUAGUGAGUGAUGUAGAUGAACCAGACAUGAAUGAAUUGGCAGAUCAUCAUUAUUUGACCGAAUUUGUGUUGAAUUUUUGAGAUGCAACACAGAAUAACACAGGAAGAACUGAAUAAUCUUAUCAGGGAUCUGGAAUUACCCAAGAAUAAAGCAGAACUAUUCAUGCCAAAUGGUUGCCAGAUUAUAUGAAACUAUAUUAAUGCUGUUGUUAAUAUUAAUAAUUAAAUAUCAAGUAAUUUGGCCUAGAGGUAGGAGUUAAGUGUUAUUUCUUUUUAAAUUAAUUAUUAAAUUUAUCAAGUUCUAGAAAAAAAGCUAGAAGAAAAGAAUAAACCUGAAGCAGGGCUUGAACCCACAACUUGUGCUUGCCUUGCAGACACGUUGCUAGUUAUGUUCCAGCUGAUCUUCAAUUCCAGAACUAUUAAUUUAAAUAUAACCAUACUGGUUACUCACAAUGCUGACUUAACUAAUGGCUUGGCUUCCAGGUUGAAACAAUGGAAUUGCCUUGCAGAAAAUGUGAAAAGUUACUUCUUUUGCUGCCAACACAAUGUUUUUUGCAGUUCUAUUCUAAAGAAGGUGAUCUCAAUUUCUGUAACAUUGUCAAUGAUGUUACAGCAGCUUUGGGCAUCAUGUACACUUGCAAUAAAUGGCAUUUGUUUAUAGAUUCAGUUUGAAGUUGGUGCUUUUACACAACAACACGCUGCCUUCUGUUCCACUGGCAUAUGUUACCCAAACUAAAGAAAUCUAUACAGUUAUGGAAACCUUAGACUUCAGAACAAGAAUCAGGAGUGAUGUGCAUUGGAUUUUAAAGUUAUUGCUAUAUUAAUGGAACUACAGCAGGGAUACAGAAAAUUUUGUUGCUCUGUCUGAAUGGGAUAGUUGUGACAAAUUAAA